Girardinichthys multiradiatus is the source of this 943-nucleotide long non-coding RNA. RefSeq lists it as uncharacterized. NCBI's taxonomy places the organism in Eukaryota, Metazoa, Chordata, Actinopteri, Cyprinodontiformes, Goodeidae. The record is from RefSeq and is a predicted model, not a curated record. The transcript is spliced from 2 exons.
UCUCGUAUGUGUGGAAGCAGAAGUCCCUGCAGCCAGAAAAUGACUGAUGAAGCAAUCUCUGAAUGCAAGCACAACUAGGGUGGGGGAAAAAAGGCAAAGUCCUGCAUUUUAUUGCUGUAUAAAAUGCAUGUGGUGUCUCAACACCUCCCUGGGUCGUUUAUUGUUUCCUCUGAGUUCCUUAAUGUUUUUUUUUUUUUCUGCGUGGGAGAAUCAUUUAUAAAAGCAGCCUUGACAAUCUCUCCGGGGUACAGGAUACAGCGGCAUGUGUGCAGCUAUCUCUUGAUUUGGAUGCAGGAGCAUGAGCGGAAACAUGAGAUCAGCAUUUCGCCCUCAUUCAGCCGAAAGCGAUCUUCAUAUCUCAUCUGUGCAAACUGAGAGCAAGGCGGGCAGAUGAUAGGAUAGAAGAAGAGCCAUAAGGAUAAAUAGAGUAAAUGAGCAAGAAGGCAACAUUGCGAGAUGGAGACAGAUGCGAACAUGACACAGGCUGAAGUCAGAGUGUGACAGACAUGCUGAGGAGGAAACAGAGGAGAAAGGAGGAGGUGGGGAGAGAUACUGGAUGAGUCAAAACCCCUGAGCUCCAAUAAAUUCUCUGUGAAAGACACAGUGCUGAAAAGAUGGUUGGCAUGUGCCUCUCUGCCAAGACAUGCCUAAGACAAUGACAUAAUUAUCAUCAAACAAGCAAGGACACGCUGCGAGAGUCCCCGACUCAUGCUUGGCUCCUUUUAUUUAUUAUUAUUCACUCACUUAUUCAUCACUUCCCUUGCACUCUCAGUAUCACUUUGCACUGACCUCAAAGCCAAAGCUCUAUAGUUAGAGCUUAGAGAUAUUCCCGCUAAACAAUAUAGUAUUUCUACAAUGCCACUGUUAGUUAAUGCCAACAGUGAUAAGGAAUACUUCAACAUACAGUACAUUAAUAAAACUCUCCUUAAACUUAAAAAAAAAA